Molecule: ribosomal RNA, 433 nt
Filed under: uncultured bacterium
Lineage: Bacteria
Description: partial 16S ribosomal RNA
Rfam family: Bacterial small subunit ribosomal RNA
Source: RNAcentral
AACGAACGCUGGCGGCAUGCCUAACACAUGCAAGUCGAACGAGACCUUCGGGUCUAGUUGCGCACGGGUGCGUAACGCGUGGGAACCUGCCCUUAGGUUCGGAAUAACUCCCCGAAAGGGGUGCUAAUACCGGAUAAUGUCUUCGGACCAAAGAUUUAUUGCCUUUGGAUGGGCCCGCGUUGGAUUAGCUAGUUGGUAGGGUAAAAGCCUACCAAGGCGACGAUCCAUAGCUGGUCUGAGAGGAUGAUCAGCCACACUGGGACUGAGACACGGCCCAGACUCCUACGGGAGGCAGCAGUGGGGAAUAUUGGACAAUGGGCGAAAGCCUGAUCCAGCAAUGCCGCGUGAGUGAUGAAGGCCUUAGGGUUGUAAAGCUCUUUUACCCGGGAUGAUAAUGACAGUACCGGGAGAAUAAGCGCCGGCUAACUCCGUG